GCCAGCUAAUGAUAUUGCAUGUAGCUUCAAACAUUUAACCGAGUCCAGUGAAUGUAAUAUAUUAGUUAUGAACAUAAAAAAAUAUGAAAGGUCGUGAAGUAUAUUUUGCAAACUAAUUACUGCAAGAGCACAUAGAAGUAUUGAAUGAUUAGCAGUUCAACAUAUGAUCAAUCACUUGAUGAUGAUUUGAAGAAGAAAAGCCUUUCUACAGAUAAGAGACCCGGGAUCCAAUCUACUGCCCUCAUCUCUACUUGAAAGUGCAUUCAUUGCUUCAGAAUUCUCUUAUCUUGAUUUUGAACUUCCCUAUACCUAUAAUUAAAUGAUACAAACCAUCCCAACAAAGUCAGUCAAGAAAAUAAAAAGAAAAAUAAAAACUCCAAAAUAAUUGUAAAAUAUACAAUGAAUUGAAAUGGUCACAGAAAGGAAAGCGUACUCUUGGGGUGUGAUACAUUCUCAUAGUCCAAGAAGGGAAUAUUUCCAAUUCUACA
Molecule: long non-coding RNA, 488 nt
Filed under: Olea europaea (common olive)
Lineage: Eukaryota; Viridiplantae; Streptophyta; Magnoliopsida; Lamiales; Oleaceae
Description: long non-coding RNA (OEUR_LNC000915)
Source: RNAcentral